RNAcentral lists this long non-coding RNA (7819 nucleotides) under Lynx pardinus (Iberian lynx). The stretch from base 1821 to 1920 matches the Rfam family "FAM13A antisense RNA 1 conserved region 2". Lineage: Eukaryota; Metazoa; Chordata; Mammalia; Carnivora; Felidae. The record is from RNAcentral.
UUCAGGACACUAAGUGACCUAGAAUCAGUUCAAAGGUUAUUCUGUUCCUUCACAGAGCUCAGGCAUUCCCACAUUGGUCUCAACUGCCAUCUCACACAGUAAAUUCCUUUUAUGUGUGUGAGCAGGAUUGGACCUCCCAACGUAUUUUGGGGAGCAGAAUCAGAGGAGUUUGCCCUGCUCUGUGAGGGAAGGAGUUUAACAAGCAUAGAUCUUUCUGAGAAAGCCACACAGAGGUUUUGAUGCAAUUUUCUUGAAAAUAUCAAGUCACAAUUUUAUUUUCCUCAAGAGAAUGGGUCCCCUAAAAUCUUGCUUACUCUGUUAGCAUGAGUUUGUAUUUUUAUUUUUUAAUUAAAAAAUUUUUUUAACCUUUAUUUUUGAGAGAGAGAGAGAGAGAGAGAGAGAGAGCGCGAGCCAGUGGGGGAGGAACAAGAGAGAGGGAGAGACACAGAAUCCAAAGCAGGCUCCAGGCUCUGAACCAUCAGCACAGAGCCCAACACAGGGCUUGAACUCACAGACUGCGAGAUCAUGACCUGAGCCGAACUUGGACACUCAAGCGACUGAGCCACCCAGGUGCCCCAUGAAUUUGUGUUUAAAGUGCUGGAGGUACAUUCUGUUUAUGACUUACUACAAACAAGGAAUCAGAAGGUGAGGAGAGUGAUGUGUGGGAAAUACAAAUCAUACAAAUCUCAACAUCUUGUUGGAAUUCAGCAAAGAAAGAAUCUUUGUCUCAAUGCUGAUAAUAACCCACCACCAUUUUUUAGUGAAGAUUUAUUGUUGUGCUUACUUUAUGUUCAUCCACGUAAAUUCCCAUAAUGACCCCAUUAACUACUAUGGUUUUUCCCAUUUUUCAGAUAAAAGCACAGAGACAUGGAGAGUGGGCAAUGUACCCAGAUCGUAAAGCUAGGCUGUCAGUGUGCAGAUUGGGCCUUAAGCAUCAAGCAGUCUUUGGUCUCUGCUCGUCUUGUCACUUGUGCUGGUCUCUGUUAACUUUAGUUUGUUGGAGCUGCUCAUUUCCACAAAUGCCCAGGAUGCAGUCCACACCCUCUACUUACAGUGGGAUCUCUGGACCAGCAGCAUGGAAGCAUCUGGAAGCCUGCUGGAAAUGCAGGAUGUCAGUGCACCUUCCUACCCGCCCGGGGGCUACUGUACCACAAGACCCCUAGAAACUCACAUGCACAUUCAAGUUUGAGAGGCACUGCUCUCUGCUGCCAGAGAGCAGUAAGUAUAUCCUUCACACUUUCUCUCCCUCCCUCCCCUCCACUGAAUCGUGUCUAGUAAUUUUAAUUUCUUUAAAAGUAACAAUGACAGAAAAAUCACAAUGUCUCAAAAUAUCUUACCAAGAGUGCUCAAAACUACCCCACAGAAGCAUGACAAGGAUUUCGGAGCAUCUUUGAAUUGCUUUUGAGAAAUUAAAGAAAAAUUCCAGCAUCACUCUAAGGUGAUGCGUUUCAGAAUUCACAAUCACCUACGUUUUAUACACACACGGGCACAAGGGAGACAUGGAGGUCCAAGGGGUCUGAGAGACUCCAUCCUUUCUUGUGUUUUGCACUGGGCCACAGUUCCUGAGCAGAUGCUGCACAACACGGAGCCACCCUGUGGUAGAAGCCUUGUUGACGGAGGGGACAAGUGAGAACCAAGCUGUCAACAACCCCAGUUCCUGCCAAACCUCAUCUGUCUGCCUGCCAGCCAGGGUUCUGAACAUACAUUUGGGAAUUUUGCCUUUUGCCUUUUACUGAAUGUGAAGUUCUCCUGUGUGUGUAUGUGUUGCCUCGAUAAGCUGACCCAGUUUAGGGAUAACUAGAAUAUGUUUUGGUUUACAAGAUUCAGAAUCUAUUUCUAGAAGAGGUAAGAACUCUAGAACCGAAAGGGACCGCCUCUCCCCACCGUGCGUAGGUCCCCCUUCUGAAAUUACCAUUCAGGCGGUACCAACAUUGCAAACGUACAGAGCAGGACACAUCUGCUCUGGGGAUGGGAGGGGGAGGGCUUCCAAGGACCACCUCACUCUGCCAGCCAGCUGCAGAGCCUGAUGUACUUGAGGCCAGCAUCGCGUCCUGGUCCCUCACAGGGGCAACGUGAAAAUAUGAUUUAAGAAAAUGGAGGCAUCACGAAAUGCUGCGUGCCAGUUCCUUCUAGAUGUUGUUACUUUGGACCCAGCGUUUCAAAAGUUAAAUUACUCAGGGUAAGCCGCAGUUUUGGCAAAAUGGCAUUAAAUCGCACCAUCUUUAGAGGUUCUGUGUCUUUCUUGGUCAGAAGACAUAUCUGUUGGAAUCCUGGGCAGUACUCAAAGCCUUUUUUUUUUUUUAAAUUUCAGGCUAUACAUAUAUGUGAUACACACACACACACACACACACACACACAUAUAUUCAAUAUUUAUUUUUGACAGAGUGUGAGUGGCGGAGGGGCAGAAAGAGGGAGACACGGAAUCUGAAGCAGGCUCCAGGCUCUGAGCUGUCAAGCACAGAGCCCAACGCAGGGCUUGAACCCACGAACUGUGAGAUCGUGACCUGAGCUGAAGUCAGACGCUUAACUGACUGAGCCACCCAGGCGCCCCAGGCUUUAUAUUUUUAAUGUUCACUUUUGGCAAGUAGAGCCCAUGUAACACGUGUGGUUUAAAGAAUACCCGCAUGCCUAACCAUCACAGGGGUGUGUCCUUAGCUGUGCCCCCCAACUCUGGAGGCUGUUCAAGGUGCUCGUGAGGCAGUGCCUGGCUUCACUUGGCACGGGGCAAGAUGCACGGGGCAAGAUGCUCACUUCAAACUGAAAUGCACCUUUUCCUCCAAGUCACAGUAUUCUGCUGGCCUUAUUAGCGUCAGAAUAAUAAGUAGCUAAUGAAUUUACUAUAAUGGCCUCAUUGACUUUGCAAAGAUACUUAAUUAAACACGUUUUUUUUAGUUUAAUGCCUUCACUUCUGCCCCUUCAGGCCCUUCCAUGAAUAGAGCACAGAGCAAAAGCCCAUUUUUUUACCUAGAACCAUGGGCAUGCCUAAUUUGUAAUGAGUUUGCUUCACCUUCCAGUGACCUCCCUGGAAACAGAAUAACAAAAGCUUAAUCCUCAUGAAGCUUCUGGGGAGUUCAGGGAACAGCAGUGAUUCCUUACCUUAAGGUCAGACCACACAGGCAGCUGCCAUACACUCCUGAUUUUGUCAAAAAUCUCAGAACAUUCACAGUUAAAAAUAUUUUAUUUAAGUUUACACAAAAUACAGUCAUGUACAAAAAUGUACAUAACGUUUUUCAUUCAGUUUACAUUUUAAAAAAGGACAACUGUAAUUUCAAAUACUUUCUGCUUAUAUGUCGUGUAAACAUUGUUCUGGGCCCAUAUUAGUAACUAAAAUUGCAUCUACUCUUGGAGAUUUGCAUGACGGUACGUAUAGGUGCUUUCAGACUGAGAAAGAGAUGUGCCAAACCCAUUUCUCAAGACGCGAGCAUGACCACAACAGGCUGGGUUCCAGGCAAAAUGAGAGUCUCUAGAGACAUAACUGCAGCUUCCCAGCCACAUGAACUUGUAGGUGUACAGAUUUCAUUUUACAAACAUUUUUGUGUACAUCGGUAAUUGACCCCAGCCUAUGUACAUCUAUUAUGAAGGAUCGUGGUAGAAGAAGGCAGGCACCCACAGGGGCACACUCUGGAUUCUGCAAAAUGGCCAGUGCCCCAGUGCAGUGCCCGACAUAUAGAUCAUUCUUGUUUGGAGCGUGCCAGGUUGGCCACCAUGCAAGGUGUGAGUGUGCACAAUUUGAAUGAACACUCGAAAAUAUGUUUAGCUAGUCUUACAUCAAAAUGUACUCUUGAGUACAUUUUGAGGGUCAAGUGGAGAAAACAUAAAAGAAGGGAAUAAAAGAAAACAAAGCACACUGAGUUCUGCCACACACAAUGUGCUUCAGAAGAAACACUGCUUCACAUUUGAGUACAGUUUUGUCUCCCCCUGUUGACGUAACCAAGUGGAUACUGAAAAGAACAUCAAGGAGAUGUUGAUCAUGAGGCAGAAACCACCUCUCUCCACCUAGGGGUGGGGGAAAAAAAAAUCCAGGAAGCAGUGUGUCAGGAAGAUUCUUCUUGAAAUCAAAACAGAAUUUAGACUACAACCAACUUUUCAUAAAGCGGUUAAUAGUUUAUGGUACUCAAAUACAAAUAUACCAUCAAAAGUAGUAAGGUGUUACUGUUAAGAAAAGCGGUAUCUUCAUUAUCAGAUUAAGAAUCUCUUAAAAAGUUCAUCAACCAACUGGAAUUUGAUUUACCUUGUAAAUCUGAUCAUUUCUGGAUACUGGGCCCAAUUCUGUCUGCUGGGAACUAAGAAGUUCCAGAAAGAACCAACCUAAUUGGCACCACGACCGCCCCUUGUAUAAACCUAAAUAUUCGGCUUAUUAGGAAUUCUAAGCUCAACCACAUUAACAAAUGCUCAGCCCCCAGGGGCUCCAAGACUGCUGGCCUCAGGACAUCUCAGUGCAACAUUUAUGCUUCAAGCACAGCCCUGCGGCAUUUGUCCAGAAAUGCUACACCUGGGAGCAGGCACGCCCUGCAAGAACCUCUUCAGCCACCACGCAAGAAUUGCAUCAGAAUGAGACAACGCAAAAAUGACACCAAUGUCACAAACAGAGAUGUGGCUGAGUCCUGCCUAGGCAAUAAAUAAUAACCUUUAGAUUUCAAACUGUCAACGAAAGGGAAGAAAUCUAAUUUUUAGCUCUCAAUGCAUUCUUAUAGCUAGCAAUUCAAAAAAAUUAGUUCCCCAGCUUGAAAUUUGGUUUGGUCUUUGAUGGAAAUUUCCCCUGAAUUGGGAGAUCACUGAGAUUGUGUGAGCUUUCUUCUACCAGUUUAAGACAAACAUGCUGUCUGAAAAACUCAGCAGGCCCUGAUCCUAAACCCUGCACAAACAUGUCUGCAAAGUGAGAUUUGAACUAAAUGAUGCAGAGAUGAAAUGCAGUCAUGAUACCGUACUGAAUAUAAACAUCUAUUUCAAUGUUUACUCCAGACUGAACACGAUAAGAAGCAAAUGCGUGUGUGAAAAUUACAAGCCUCUGCUAUUUCUCAUUCUUACAAUCAUACCAUCAAGUUUAUUCACGCUUUACCUUUACUUAUCAUUGCUAUUAAAUAACCCUUGACAUUUGUUUUGUUGGCAUGUGCUAAUAAACACACACACAUUCCCAAGAGAGCACAGGAAAAAACCCCAGUCCAGAGUAUUCUGUAUGAAGCCAAUUAAGACACUGCCUCUAGGGCCAUGAGACCCUGGGCUGCAGAAAUGGUUGCUGUGGAAACAAAUUUGCCUCAGCCUUUCUGGCAGAGCCAAAACCCACUGCCAGGUCUUCAAAUAGGGUCUUGUGUAAACAGGGCUUUUCCGCCUUUAAUGUGGGCGCCAUUCUAGGAAGUAUACAGAUGAGAAAUUACAAAGGAAAACACAACAUUCCAUACACAAUUUAUUUGACUGUAACUUGGUGUUUUCUUUUAUUCAUCAUACAAAUUUGAAUGGGGAGUCCUGGAUAAGUCUUUUACUUAAUUUACCUUUGGCAGAAACAACAGAUUUCAAACAUUUAGUAGCUUCUCAUUUAUAUAGCAUUUUUCUUUUAAAAUUCUGUGUGUAGCAUAUUAGUAUUUUCAAAACAAUACUCUUCAACAGAUGUGCUUUAAAGGUUAACUGGUAAUGAUUUGAUUUAUAUUAUAGCUUAUUUAAGAGAAUAAUUACUUAAAAAGGACACACUAGACAUGUAUUUCCUUAAAAAAUACGAUUUUUGGUCAUGUGAAUGAUUCAUGUUCAGAUUUCAAAAAUAGAAAACAUCCUAAAGUGCUUAAUUUUAUUUAUAAUAUAACUCCUUGAAAUUAUAGUGAUCUGUAAUGUAAACAGUAGAGCAAAGAAUACCAAACUAUAUAUUCAUGUACAUUUAAAUUUGUAGGAAUAUGUACCGUCUUUAAAUGUGUGGAUUAAAACAGGGCACUUCUAAACACAGCUCAUGCUUCUCUAUAUGAUUAUUGUUAAGAGCAAACUUAAAGGUUUUCUUUCUCCCCACUCCCAACUUAAAAUGAUUUUCAACUGACACCUUCUACCUCACCUCAGCAAUGGAAAACACUGCUAUAAAUCCAAUCUGACCAGUUUCUCAAGAGCCCAUUUCGAAACUGACAACCGGUCUGUAUAGAGUUUAGCGUUCUCUUUAUUUUCUUCUUAUUAUCAAACAAAACAAAAUGGUACCCUUUAAGAAAGCAACUCUCAAAACAGAGGAGGGCAGCCUUGCUCUCCUGUUCAUCCUGCGACUUGAUCUUUAAAAGGCAGAGCCUGCUGAAGUGCCUUCUCUUGGCAACCAGUGGCUGGUGUGCAGACACUUGACCUCAACCUCACAAAGCAUAAAGGUGGGCCUCGGACGGACAGGCAGAAACAGAAUUCACUUUCCUCAGUGCAGAUGCAGAAGGUUAAAAAGGAACAACAAAUCACAAGGUGACAUCAGCACAGCGAGAGAUGAAUGGUUUGGUGCUUUAAAUUCCCUGGUCUUCCCCAAAUGUCUAAUAUAGACAGCUUUGUGACACAGUCUUUGAAAAAAAUUAUAAUCAUAAGUGACCACACACCCUUAUUUUCCUCUUUAUACGUACAUGAUCUUGAAAAUAGUGUGAUUUAGAUUCUGCCUUCGGCUGAGUUCUGAGGGCUACAUUUACCCCUCAGGGGAUUUUAGUGCAGGUUUACUUAAAAAAAAAAAAAAAAAUUAAACUCUGGUAAGUACUCAGAAGGUUUAGAACACAGGCUCGCUCUUUCUCUCUCUCAUGAUCCUCAACACUUAAGCUAAGAAGUAAGCAAGAUCUUUUAUGUUUGGUAAGAGUCAAAUGAAACCAAGCCCCAAACAGGAUGUCAUAGCAUGCUGGCCUUGCUCAGUGUUUGGUGUUAAAAUCUGAGACUGAUAAGUGCAAUCCAUGUUCAGGAAAGAAUUUUCCAGGCUCUUCACCCUGUUGCCUGAAUUAAAAAUCAACAUUAAUAGAGCCACAUUCCCUCCAUCCUCUGCAGAUGAUCCAGUCCUAGUCAGGAAACAAAAUGUUUCGCCAGCUGAGGGAGUCUUGAAGAAACACACCAUCAAAUAGAUGACUGCACUGCCAUUUUGGGCAGGUACGGCUUCCGUCUUCCUGAGAACUGAAGGGGACACGACCCACACGGGUGGGGAAAGGCGCGGCUCUGUGGAAAGGUCACGAGAAUGGCCGAGGCAGCAAACAGGGCUCCAGCACGUGUUCCCACUUUCCUGGGAAAGAGAACAUGGACCUGCACAGCGAGUUCGUUUUCUAGAGGGAAGUCCUGAGCUUGUUUUCAUCACAGUUAGACAGAGAAUGGUCUCCUGUUUCUCAGUUAUCCAGGGAAGAAUAGUGUAUAUUCUCUGUAGAUGAGCGUGUCUCAACGUAGUGAUUCAGCACGGCCAACGUUAGUAAACCUUCCCCUGCAGUAUCCACGUGCACCCGUGGGAUCUUGACUGUUCCUUGCAAAAGUCUUAAGUCGGAGCAAGUUACCCUCUCCCAUGCAGACAGCUGCUAAGGCAGGCGAUGGAAGCUGGAGCUGAUCCCAAAGGCCCGGAGGCAGUAGGGCUGUGUGCUCUGAGGUCCAGCUCCCACGCUGCCUUCCGGGUUUUGCAGAGAUGCUAUUUACCAGGGGAGGCGGGUAGCAAGUCCAGCCUGCACCUUCAGCCCCCUUAGUGCCGGCUGGGGCUGUGCCCCUUACAUGGACUUGGAAUCAGUGUCUCUCUUGCUGAUGAGCACCUCCAAGAGCCUUAAUUUUGCCUUUAUGUGCUUAUAUUCAUUGUAUUCUUCAGCCAUAGGAGUGCGGUCUUCCUUCUGGACACUUCUAACGGAAACAAAAGGAAAGGGGG